Molecule: ribosomal RNA, 429 nt
Filed under: bacterium
Lineage: Bacteria
Description: partial 16S ribosomal RNA
Rfam family: Bacterial small subunit ribosomal RNA
Source: RNAcentral
UAGGGAAUCUUCCACAAUGGACGCAAGUCUGAUGGAGCAACGCCGCGUGAGUGAAGAAGGUUUUCGGAUCGUAAAGCUCUGUUGUUGGUGAAGAAGGAUAGAGGCAGUAACUGGUCUUUAUUUGACGGUAAUCAACCAGAAAGUCACGGCUAACUACGUGCCAGCAGCCGCGGUAAUACGUAGGUGGCAAGCGUUGUCCGGAUUUAUUGGGCGUAAAGCGAGCGCAGGCGGAAUGAUAAGUCUGAUGUGAAAGCCCACGGCUCAACCGUGUGACUGCAUCGGAAACUGUCAUUCUUGAGUGCAGAAGAGGAGAGUGGAAUUCCAUGUGUAGCGGUGGAAUGCGUAGAUAUAUGGAAGAACACCAGUGGCGAAGGCGGCUCUCUGGUCUGCAACUGACGCUGAGGCUCGAAAGCAUGGGUAGCGAACAGG